Molecule: long non-coding RNA, 1401 nt
Filed under: Rattus norvegicus (Norway rat)
Lineage: Eukaryota; Metazoa; Chordata; Mammalia; Rodentia; Muridae
Description: long non-coding RNA NONRATT014253
Source: RNAcentral
AUUCCGGUACCCGUCACCUUGGAGCUGGCCAAACUUGGGGAUCCAAAAGCUCUGCAGCGUCGUCCCCCACGAACCUCCCUGCCCCCUGCUCCUGAUUCCCUUUCAGGAAUUUACAAACAUUUUUCCCUAGAUCAAUAUCCGUAUUGAUUAUUCAUUGUGAGCGAGUCGUGUGUCUUUGGUGAUCCAGCUUGCAGAGGGUAGCAGCUAAAGACUGCUGCAGGGGGAAAAAAUAACAGAAGGUGAGAAGGACCCAGCUCUGACUGGGGUCUGCGGCUGUCACAUCACAGAGAGGGAGAAGAAGAAGAGAAUGCUCCAGAAUGAAAGGAUGGAGAAGGGUGGAAGAGAAAGAGGGAGCGACAGCAAGAAAGAAAGAUGCAAGGACUGCAUCUGGUCUUAGGGAUCUCAAUGGCUUGGAGGAAAGCCCCAUCAUCUUGGGUCUGCUGCUAGGUGCAAAAUGCCGUGCGUUCCUCUGCUCUGGGAGUGAACAGUGACUCACGGUUUUGGUGUCUUCCUACGUAAGAGCUUUUGGUGGGGGGAUUCCUUGGCUUGCUGACAGACAAGGAAGGACGCAGCAGCAGUGAGGUAAAAGAAGAGGAAGAAAAAAAAAAAGCAACCCAGUCCUUUCCAACCGAUUCGCCGAGGAUGUGCACCGGUUCGGUUUGAUUUGAACAGCUUGCUGCUCUAAAUGGCAUGCAGGAGGAUAAUUAAAAAGGCCAGCAUCACUUACUAAGGAUUACUGGAAAAGACGGUGAGAGGAUGACAGGAAGACAUCUUGGAUCAGAGCCAAAAAAAUAAUAAUCAAGGCAAAUCAAGUCUGCAGUUCGGAGAAAACACCCAUGGCUUGGGAAGCUCCGAAGGGAACCUGGGAACUGCUGGAGUUCUUCAGCCGAGGCUGGGAAUAUUGUUGUGGGCACAAGAGGACAAGAUUGGGGAAAGUCAUGGCAUGCCAGCUUACACAGCUAAGCCGCACACUGAGGAAAAAGAAAAGCCACACCAGAUCCACACCAGACCCAAACAGUGAGAGCCAACAUAUCCUUUGCUUUGGAGUCUUUCUGCUGGCUCCAAGUCAUUCCGUCUAUUUAGAGCAAUUCCACAACAUGCCUCCUGCCAGUAGCUGCUAUUCUCCUUGCCUGUCUUCAGAAGUUGCCUCACUGUUGAACGGGAGAGUGGAAAGAGGGGAGACUCAGUUUUCCAUUGGCUGGGAUUCUGGCAAAUGGGCCAGGUGAUUGUGUUUGCCAUUUGGACAGACAUACGGGAGCUGGUUGGGGAUUCCUCUUUGUUGUCACCCAGCUGUGGCUUGGUGAGUCCCAAACCAACCGUGAACUCUUUUUAUACACUGUUCCAAACGCAUAUGGACAAGAUGGGGACCCCAAGGAAUAAAAACAGUUGGAUUUUCUUUUC